AAUUUUUGGAGUGUACUUUUGAUUUUAUGGUGAAAUUGAAGAUUUUUGUGUGUGUGUGUUUAAGAUUAUAAGAUUUAGUGAACGAACCAGAUUAGUACCUGGUUAGAUAAAAAUUAAAAGAGCAGGAGUAAAGUUGAGUUUAAACUGUAAUAAUAUUGGCAGGCUUUUAAAUUAUCUUUGGAGGCUGAGUAGUAAUUGAGAGCCCUCAUUUACAACUCUUAUUUUGGGCUCAUGUAUGAUCGUUUAUUUUAUUCUUAAGGAUUGUAAUUUUAGUUUUUAUCUGUUAAAAUAGAUAUAUACUUGGUUUAUAUAGGAGGUUAAUUUGGCCUACAAUGUUGUAUUUUUUGGAUAGUGCUGGCAGUUGGUACUUGAAAUUGUAAAAGACAGUAAAGCCCUUUUAAUGGGGGAUUGAAGUUUAUUUAAAAGCGG
RNAcentral lists this ribosomal RNA (429 nucleotides) under Contracaecum rudolphii. RNAcentral's name for it is "partial small subunit ribosomal RNA". The record is from RNAcentral. Lineage: Eukaryota; Metazoa; Nematoda; Chromadorea; Rhabditida; Anisakidae.